AAAUGUUCAAACACCGGAUCCUGGAGGAAAAUCUGAAUGCUUCAAAAAUUGAGAUUGAAUUGAGGUGCAGUAACAUGAACCAGUAUGUAGCUCAAAAAAUUGCUACUUUAAACAGGAAGAGAUUGAGAGUCUAAGUGCAUCGAGAUCGGUUGUGGAACAUGACCUAUCAGCACGCCAAGUGGAGAACCGACCUAAGCCUGUUAUUUUAGAAAAGAUUAACAAUCAUCUUACUCCAGAACCGAGGUUUAUCAAGAAAGUCCGUCAGAGAAUUCUUUUAAAAAAGUUCUAUAACCUCCAGCAGUAAUAUAUCUCAACACCUGGCAGCAUUCUCCUUCUUUUGUGUCUGUGUGAGAGAGCUUUGUAACACGUUGCCCCCACUCCCCUCCACUGACAAUCUCCCAAAGUCGUAUGUUUGUGUAUUACGGAGAUGUGCUCAUUACAACAGCAUGAAGCGAAAUGACACGGCACAUCCAAUUGUGCACGAAUCUAUCUAUGCUACAAACUGUGGAAGGAGAAAUGGGUUUCUCCUCUUCAUGUUAAAGGUAAUAUCUCACAGACUUUAGUGUCAUUGACUUUUUUGUUGGCGAUUAAGAAGGCACUGGCUGAUGAUUCAUUCAUAUGUACAAUAUGAAGUAUUGUAAAGAUUUAUGAAUAAAGUGUUAUAAUUUUUAAUGAA
Molecule: long non-coding RNA, 676 nt
Organism: Nilaparvata lugens (brown planthopper)
Lineage: Eukaryota; Metazoa; Arthropoda; Insecta; Hemiptera; Delphacidae
Exons: 2
Source: RefSeq, a predicted model, not a curated record